UACGUAGGGUGCGAGCGUUAAUCGGAAUUACUGGGCGUAAAGUGUGCGCAGGCGGCCGAGCAAGUCGAGUGUGAAAGCCUCGAGCUUAACUUGGGAACUGCGCUCGAAACUACUUGGCUAGAGUGUGGCAGAGGGAGGUGGAAUUCCACGUGUAGCGGUGAAAUGCGUAGAGAUGUGGAGGAACACCGAUGGCGAAGGCAGCCUCCUGGGCCAACACUGACGCUCAUGCACGAAAGCGUGGGGAGCAAACAGG
This 253-nucleotide ribosomal RNA is filed under the name uncultured bacterium. Its description in RNAcentral is "partial 16S ribosomal RNA". It matches the Rfam family "Bacterial small subunit ribosomal RNA", at positions 524 to 776 of the family's 1533-position model. The record is from RNAcentral.